GCCCUUUUCACUUGAAUGCAGACCAGCAAAGUAUCCCUUAGGGCUGCUCUCGAAUGCGCCCCUCGAUAUAAUGGCCGCACCUCCACUCCCCGGAGCUACCAUCAUUCCCGAAGCCCCACCUCCGCCUUUGGAUGUGCUUCCUCCUCCAACAUUUCCAGAGCCACCACCGCUGCCUCCGCAACCACCUUUGCUGCCACCGCCACUUCCACCUUUGCCACCGCCACUUCCACCUUUG
This 235-nucleotide long non-coding RNA is filed under the name Gossypium raimondii (Peruvian cotton). RNAcentral's name for it is "long non-coding RNA (GRAI_LNC010680)". Lineage: Eukaryota; Viridiplantae; Streptophyta; Magnoliopsida; Malvales; Malvaceae. The record is from RNAcentral.